Pyrus x bretschneideri (Chinese white pear) is the source of this 428-nucleotide long non-coding RNA. RefSeq lists it as uncharacterized. Lineage: Eukaryota; Viridiplantae; Streptophyta; Magnoliopsida; Rosales; Rosaceae. The transcript has 3 exons. The record is from RefSeq and is a predicted model, not a curated record.
UUUUAGUUGUUUUUGUUUUUGGUUAUGUUUAUUUGUCAAAGUAAUGACUUUGGUUUCGUGGUUAUGGAUUCAUGAGUGUGACAAUGGUGGUUCAAAAGAUAAGGAGACUGAAGGGCAAUUGGAAUUAAAGUCAAAUGACAUGGAGUGAAGAAACUAGUUGGAACAACUGAUGAGAUCCAGAAGCAUUUUGGCUGUAGGUGGGUUUGACAUUCAAUGUGGGGCAAACUUGCAACUGUACAAUAACAAACUGCACAAUAACUUCUUAAAAGUUGAGGAAGAAUUUUAGUGUGUGGAGAGGGAAAAAGUUAAUAAGGUGGAGAACCUGAGCAUGUUAAAGGGUCGUGUUCUGUAGUCCUGCCUUUUAUUUAUUCAGUGCAUUUUAAAUGGGUAAGGAUAGGCCAAAUAGUAUGAAAUUUAAAGUUGGUUUC